Long non-coding RNA from Clupea harengus (Atlantic herring), 303 nucleotides. The record is from Ensembl. Lineage: Eukaryota; Metazoa; Chordata; Actinopteri; Clupeiformes; Clupeidae.
CACCCACGCAUAGCUUACAGCGCACUUUUAUGACUCAUGCGUUACGGAGGCCAGUGGAAAAGAAAAAGUCAUUACUCACUACUUGUCUCCUUGGUUCCAGUUUUCCAGUGUCGAAGAGGUUUUCCUUUGUCCUGAUGGAUUGAAUGUAUAUGCACAUAUGUACAUUUUACAUACAUAUAUAUAUACACAGCACAAGCUGCGAUGCCCUUGAGGGACCUGACGAUGCGGCAAUUGUAUUUGGAUGUAAAAAAGUUAAACAAAACUAUAGAGCACCAUGGAUCCCUAACUUUGAAAAACCCUGGG